RNAcentral lists this long non-coding RNA (34733 nucleotides) under Homo sapiens (human). Its description in RNAcentral is "non-protein coding lnc-CHSY1-5:13". Lineage: Eukaryota; Metazoa; Chordata; Mammalia; Primates; Hominidae. The record is from RNAcentral.
AGAGCAAGGCCGCCGCCAGCUCUCCCAGGAACCGUCGCGAGGCGUCCCCUCGGCGGCCGCCUCAGUUUCCCUGGCCGUAAAACGCGGGCGAUGGCGCUCGAUGCCCCGGGAGACGCCGGGGUCCGCGGGCCCUUCCGGCACCGGGUCCUCCUUCAGGUUCGGGCACCCGGCUGCCUCCACGCGGGGCGAGCGCGGCGAUGGGAUCGGUCCGUGCUGCGCUCAGCCCCGCUUUCGCUAUCCCUCUGCUCCAGGGGCAGCAAAAUCAGCAGAUGAGCCCCCAGCGCGCCUGCGGCCCACACACUGCGGCCGUAACAGUUAAACAGACGGGGAACAUUCAUGUGCGUAGAGCUCUUCACGGGGCGAUACAGAAAUGUGUCGUUCUAAAGCGUUAACGACCUGCAAUUUGCAUAUCCUCCAACACAUGGAUUUUACUGAUUCAAUUAUGGAUGUGUGCAAAGAAUCUGCUGCUCGCUAUAUGGGAACACUUUCAGUUUCCCAAGUUAAAACAUGAAAUUGCACAUCAUCAUUUGGAUCCCCAAAGAGGAAAAGAAAAAUUCACAACCUGCCAGUGAAAUACUCAGGCCACUUGGAUGAAGACCGAGGUCCUCCAUAGAAUCCAGGUGUUAUUUACUAACUAAUCAGAAAUUAAUAUCAAAAUAGGACUUAAAAAUAACAAGGCUGUGUUAUUACAGCAGUCUUUCCAGUUGUGUACGCUUUACUAAUCUAAAUUGGGUAACAGAACUGGAGAAAAGGAAGACUACACAGACUUAUCAUAAGCUGUUAGUGAACGUGAUAGAAAUGCGUAAUUUGUUAAAGCGAAUUACAGCUCUGAUUUGUCAAAUGAGGAGGUGAAUUAUCCUAGGAUUUGCUAUGCUGUUGUGGCGUUAGAAGAUUGGAUCUUUAGCAGCAAAGGUAACCUCAACAAUAUUUUCUGCUUAAGAAAGUGCCUUGGUUAAGGUAGACCGUGAUAUCGUCUUUGACUAAGCUCUCUGGGCUAUUGAUUCUGUCAUAUUCCAAAGGCAGUAUUGGUUUGAAGCCGAAUCUCACGGUCAAUGUCAACAUGCAAUCCACAAAGACCCUGGCGCCCUUCCACGGUAUGCACUAACCAAAACUUUCUCACUGUGAAAUCCUUUUUUUAAAAACAAGAAAACAAAAAACAAAAACCAAAAAACCUUACUGUGAAUCCUUUCCCAAGGAAUGGUCCCACCUUCACCUCGGAAAGAGGCGUGGCUUGCUCUGUAAGCAGGUCCACCCUGAGGAGACCGCUGGUGCAAGAGCCCUGCUUGCAGAACACACAGGGGGUUUUCCCACAUUCUUACUGGAGUCAGAUUCGGCAAAGCAUUUCAAGCAACUGCUGGACACUUCAAAUACCACUCCCUGUUAACAACGCCCUGAGUAUCUCACUGUCUCCAGGAUCUGGUUUAAAGGGAAACACAGAAAUGGCCAACAGCUCCCUCCCCAGGCAGGACUGCGAUUUCACAGACAACCUAUAGGCAUCCCCAGUCUGGUGAAUAAACAGGAGAGUGAGAGGAAAACAGCAAUCAUUCAACUCCAGUAGAUGUAAAGCCUCCAGAAGAAUGUGUCCCGGGAAGGUCAGAAAUGUCAUUUUUUUCCUCCAGCACAUUUCAUCUGCCACAUUCCGCCGUCCGAUGUUUGAGGAAGGAGCCCCGCCUUUCCUUCAGGGGUUCUUGUCGCCAAGUUUGAUGGUGACAGUUUUCACUUCUGUGUAUUCGGCCAAAGCGUAUUCACCUCUGUGAUCACAGAAAAGAGGAAAAUUCAAAAUGGGUACAUCCCUUAGCCAUUGUGUAGAAACUGUUCUGAGGCUUCAUCAUUCCAUCAGGCCGUUGGAGGCUUAUGCAAAAGGUUAAAAUGUGACGACCUCAUGGAAUAAUAGCCAGGACUAUAACAGCACUAGUAAGUGUCAGUAGCUGCAUAUGUGACUUAAAUGUAAAUAUCAAGGUCUUCUUCUGUGUGAUGCUUUUGAAAUGGCCAGGACUAAGGGUUUCCCUUUAGAGAAUGAAGGGGAUUUUAAAAAAAGUAAAGAGGUGAAUUCCCUGGGGUGGCAAUAGAGAGCAAAACGAGAGAGCCUGGUGGACGGUGGGGUGUCUGUGAACGAGGGAGGGGCAGAAAUUACACUGGGUUGAUAACUUUUAGAUGGCAAUUGGGAGCUGCUUGAAGAGGAGACAGAAGAGGCAGAGGCCCAAAGCUAUUGGCUGGGGAUGUGGCCAGAGGACCAGUGGGAAGAACACCAAGGGCCUGAAGCUGGCCUCAGAGUGCACAGCUGGGGACCAGCUGUCAGGCAGUGAGGCCAGCCUAGGGGGCAUGAGAGAAGCAGACGUUAGCACAGAGUGGACAUGGGGAGGCCACAGCUUUUGGGUUCACAUCCUUGGUAUAGUUCCUUUCUUUAAAUCUUGCAGGGCUCAGGUGAUCCUUCCCUGGCACCAUGGGCCGUCUUCAGGGUAGCUUCCCUUCCAAGACCCAAGAGGCAGCUUUGGAGAGAUUUAAAUCCUUCUAAGCGCUUGAUCUGCUGUCAGGUGAAGAAAAAUGUGUGCUUGUUUAGGAAGAGAUGAAGGUAGAGGUGGCCACUGGAGUCUCUGUAGUUAAAAAGACCUGUGACAGAAUCCCAUCUCCUCCCUUAGAUCAAUGGUUCUCAAAGUGUGGUCCCCAGACCAGCAGCAUCAGCCUCACCUCUGAACUUGCUAGAAAUGUAGAUUCUCAGGCCUCCCCCAGCCCUACUAUCGUAGGCAGAAUAAGGAUCUCCCCAGGUAUCCAAAAUUGGAUCCCCCAAACCUGUGAAUAUGUUGGGCUACAGAGUGAAGAAUUAAUGUUGCAGAUGGAAUUCAAGUUACUAAUCAAUUGACUUUAAAAGAGGGAGACUCUCCUGGAUCAUCCAGGCAGACCCAGUGUAAUCACAAGGGUCCCCAAAACUGGCAGAAGAAGAGAGGCAGAGCAAAAUGAGAUUAUAGAAACAGGUUCAGAGAGCAGCAGUGCUGGCUUUGAAGAUGGAGGAUGGGGCCACCAGCCUAGGAAUGCGAGCAGCCUCUAGAGGAUGGAAAAGGCAAGGAAGUAGAUUCUCUCCUGAGAACCUCCAAAAAGGAAUGAAGCCCUUGAUUUUAGCUCAGGGAGACCUGUGUCAGAUUUUUAUCCUACAGAACUAUAAGAUAAUAGAUUUAUGUUAUUUAAGCCACUGAUGUUAUGGUAACUUCUUGCAGGAGCAAUAAAAGACUAAUAAACUUACUGAAUCAGAAACUCUAUGGUGGGGCCCAGACAUCUGUAUUUUAACAAGUCCUCCAAGUGAUUCUGAUGCAUACUCAAGUUGGAGAACCACUGGCUUAGAACUAUGUUGCUUAGGUAAGUUCUUUGCCUUCCCUGAGCCUCAACUUCAUCAACUAUCAAAUAGGAAAACCAUCACCUCCUUGUAAUUAUAACAAUUACAGAUAAUCAUGUAGAGCCCCUACUAUGUGUUAGGCAGAAAAUGAAUGGUAGGUGCCAUUGAGAUUUUUAGGUCAUUUCCUAAAACAAAUAGUUCCAGAACCCAUGAAAAUAAGUGAAUUAUUUUAUAAUCUUUCCUAAAUAAAACACAAAACAUAAAAGCCAUAAACAGAAUGCUAAAUUCUAUUUUUGUAGAGCAGAGACUCCAUUAAAAACUCCCAAAUGACAAACUAGAAAAAAAAUUUACAACACUGUGUGAAAAUCAGAGUGUGAUUUUCCUUAAUAUACAAAGAGCUCUUGCAAACCAACAAGAAAAACACAAAUACCCAAAUGGAAAAAUCAACAAAGGACAGGAAUAGUUAGUUUUCAGAAAAAGAAAUAUGAAUUACCAAUAAGUGUGAAAAUGGUGCUCAAUGCCAUCAUGAUUAAAGAAAUGUAACCAAAACAGUGGUGAGCCCAUUUUUCAUGUGGCAGAUUACUCAAUUUUAGUAAUUUAUUCUGAAAACAAUCUCCCACAAGUGUAUACUUCCACUUGUAUGCACAAGGAAGUACAUCAGCAUGGUUUGUAAUAGCAGAACCCCUUGGAAAUACACAAAAGUUCCUCAUGGGAGAUCAUCAAUAAAAAGAACGGAAGGAUAUCCAAAACCCAGUCUCAAUAACGAAAUGUAGCUUGCUCCCAUUUCAUUUGAAAACAGAAAAGAACACACAUAUAUAAAUCCAUUGUAUGCAAAUAAAAUGCACAAUACACUCUAAAAGUGAGAAUACAAUGUUGCAUUGUAAAAAUUCAAAGCCAAUAAUUAUUUAUCAAGUUAGUAAAGAAAAGAAACGCAAACAAAGUGAUGAAAUCAGAUUGAAUUAACACAUAACUAACACAUGCAGUAGGAUUACAGCAUUCCUUUAAGAAUCAAUACAGAGCUCCUCUCAUUCUUUCAUUUCUGAAGUUGCUGUCCUGGUUCAAAUUCUUGCUGCUCUUAUUCAACCCAGUGGGACAUCUCCUCAAUGGAUUCUCAGCCAGUCUCAACCACUUUGCAGUUCAAAGCUAUCCAGGAGCCCAGCCUUACUCCUGUUAAACCUCACCAGAAUGUCAGGAGGCACAGGGACUGGUGGCUGUGUUGUUCACUGCAGUAUGCUCAGAGCCUAGCAUCAUGCCUGGUGAAUCAAAGAUGCUCAAGAAGUAUUUGCCAAGUGAACAAAAGAAUGAAUGAGCAAAUGAAUGAUGGAACAACGUUUACCUCUAACAAAUGGGACUGAAGGUCAGGGAGGGAAGCCUUGACUUUCCAUAUCUCUAUUGCGUAGAUUUUUUGGUUACUAUAUCAUUUUUAUUCAGAAGAAAGGCUCCCAGGAGGAAGAGGAAUUUCAGGCUCCAUCCUGAGACCCGCACAGAAACAGCUCCCGGAGGGGCCCGUGGGUGGGCGGCCAGAAGCCAGCCCAGUCCAGGUGGCCGGGGACGGGGAAAACCAUGGAAUCCCCCGCACGAUGCUCCAGCAUUAAAAAAGGGGAACUUCUUGCAACAUGAAGACAUUAAUUAGAGACAACUGAAGACAGAAAUUGGUUUUCCAGGCAGUUUCUAGGCUCCUUGUGAAUUAUUUUUAAAUAUUUUAUCAAAAGCCUUGAGAAAAUAUAGGCCAAGGGCCUAAAAAACAGACAUUCAAAAAAGUCCCGAUGGAGGCUAACUGGCAGGAGGACACAUGGGCUGUGUCCAGUGAGUCCUCACCAAGCCCUGCUCUGUGCCAGGCGAGGGGGUGUUAAGGAGCCAAAAGCACUGUUAGGGUGGCAAGAGGGAAGGUUGCAAUGAGGGUGAAUCACCAGUGCAAAGCAGUACACACCAGGGAUUGGGGGCCCUGCAGCUUCUACGCCCAGGGACAUUUGCUUCGGGGACUGGAGUCCUUGCUGUGGCGUGAGGCUGUGUCUGGCGUCUGGGAGGAGGACUGUGUGGGGUCUGGGUUCCCCAGCCCUAAUGACCCAGCUGGUUGAAGGCAGCAGAUGAAAGGAGACAAAUGACCACGCAAACCCUGGGUGGCCUCAUGAACAGGUGGCGGACAAGGGUGAUCCCUGUUGAGCAAGGUCCUGCACUGCGGUGGGUCCAAGGACUAAGCUGCCAGCAUUCAUUUCUGACUGUCACUUACCAGCUUCCUGUGCCAUUUUCUCAUCUGAAAACAGCUGGACCCAUCUCAUGGAUGGGCGUGAGGAUGGUAUGAAGGAACAGGCAUAGAGAGCUCAACCGAGCCUGCUGCAGAGUCUGUGCUCAGCAAAUCCCAGCUGUUGCCAGUACUGUUGCUGUUGGAGGGCCCAAGAGGGGACCCUGGUGACCCCAGCCCUGGCUGCCUGUCCCUGGAGGGGCAGGUGUAAGAAGUGAUGAAGCAGGGGCUCACAGAACUCAAAUGCAAACAGGCCACUAGAGGGAGGAAAUGCAAUUUCUGCAAAGGGGUUUCAUGGCCAACAAUUACUGAUGUCCGCUGAAGGCGAAGCCAGCCACAGGGAUAAGGGGGAAGGCUAAUGGACAGGCUUCACUCACAAGUGCAGACGCCUUGGAGUAUUUGCUGAGAGUCAGGGAUGGACUACAAAGCAGGACUGAGGUGGGAGGGGGACAGGACCCCAAUUCCACAUAGACUGGUCAAGAACAUCUGUUUGGGGAUGGAAGCCAGGCCCAUCCCUUCACAGCAUCUUUAAGAAUCUCAAAAGAGAGCCACACAAAGGCCCCAACCAAGGCCCAAGGUGAGGGGAAGCGUUUGAGUCUGUUCCCGCUGGAAGAAGUGCAAACAAGGGACUACAUUUGUAUAUAAAUAGGACAGACUAGUGAAAUAAAAGGAAGAGUUUGGGUCCCUAGAGAUGUCCCAGGAACCUGGGGUGUUGUCACAGAUGGUUCCUUGGGAACACUGAUCCUACAAAAUGUUUGUCCACACAGGCUAAUAAAAUCCUGAGCUGGGGAGAGAAGACAGUGUCCGGCUGGAAACCACACAUCUCCACUCCCGGGUUGCUCUAGCCAGCUCUGGGUGUGGGCCAGACGCAAGAAGUUCCACCCAUUAAUCUAAACCUAGGGAACUCAUUUUCCCAGCAGGCAGGACAAAAAAGGAAGUGUGGAGGGGUUUGCACACACAGUGGAGGGGUUUGCAGUGGGUUUGCACACACACGAAGGGGUUUGCAGUGGGUUUACACACACGGAGGAGUUUGCACACACAUGUGGAGGGGUUUGCAGUGGGUUUGCACACACUGGGGUUUGCAGUGGGUUCACACACUGAGGAGUUUGCACACACAUGUGGAGGGGUUUGCAGUGGGUUUGCACACACAGUGGAGGGGUUUCCAGUGGGUUUGCACACACACAAAGGGGUUUGCAGUGGGUUUACAUGCACACGUGGAGGGUUUGCAGUGGGUUUACACACACGGAGGAGUUUGCAGUGGGUUCACACACUGAGGAGUUUGCACACACAUGUGGAGGGGUUUGCAGUGGGUUUGCACACACACGGAGGGGUUUGCAGUGGGUUUACAUGCACACGUGGAGGGUUUGCAGUGGGUUUACACACACGGAGGAGUUUGCAGUGGGUUCACACACUGAGGAGUUUGCACACACAUGUGGAGGGGUUUGCAGUGGGUUUGCACACGCACGGAGGGGUUUGCAGUGGGUUUACAUGCACGCGUGGAGGGUUUGCAGUGGGUUUGCACGCGCAUGGAGGGGUUUGCAGUGGGUUUGCACACGCAUGUGGAGGGAUUUGCAGUAGGCUUGCAUAUACUGAGAGGGCCGCAGAGGCCCAGCAGGAGGUGUUGUCAUAUGCCUCCUGGGAGGAGGUCCCCUACUAGGCUCAGAAAAAAGGACCCAGCAGGUAGGAGCCUUACCUGGGUCAGCCUUACCUGUCUUCACUGCUGUGAGUGGGGAGUUGUGUGAAUAAUGACACCCCACAUCUGGCAAAAGUACACUUUUUCAGUUCUGCCUGUGUCCCCGUCCAGGGAGCUUUUGUCAAAUAUCCACUGAAUGUCCCCAGCAUGAUGGCUGCUGGGCAGACACAAAAGCCGAGGCCUGGAGGGGGGCAGGCUGAGGAUGUAAGUGGGAAGGGUGGGCUGGAGAGAGGAAGGGAUGGGUCCCCACCAACCCUAGAGGGACACAGCUGGCCCAGACAGAGCGGCGGUGUGGGGGGGACGGGGUGUCAGCAGAUUGGAGCCUGUGUCACUGCCUGCAAAUCUAGUGGAUCUAGUGUUCAGCCCACGGCAGGCUCAGAAUGAUGGAAACACUUACAGUUCUCUGCCAUUUCCUGACAUUUUAAAGCCACCAAAUGGAGCCUGUGCAUAGAGGGCGUUGUAGCAGUUGAUCCUAGAAAAGAAUGGAAGAAAGCUCAGAGUCAUCUGGAGAAGACCCCCUGGCUCCUGGCACUGCAGCCACUUAGCCCCCAGUGCAGGGCAUUGUCUAAUAAACAGUCUUUUGCCAAAGCUUCCUUGAUGAAAACACAGGGUGCUCUCAACUUUUGUCUUCUCAUUCUUCUCAUCAGCAACUAAAAUUUGGAAAUCCUCAAGUACAGAGUGUGUUUCAUUGGGAUAGGAAUGAAAUGAUAAGGGGAGAAAAAAGAAGAGAGGGCCAGGCAUGAUGACUUAUGCCUGUAAUCCCAGCACUUCGGGAGGCUGAGAUGGAUGGAUCACCUGAGGUCAGGAGUUCAAGACUAGCCUGACCAACAUGGUGAAACCCCAUCUCUACUAAAAAUACAAAAAUUAGCUGGGCGUGGUGGCGUGCACCUGUAGUCCCAGCUACUGGGGAGGCUGAGGCAGGAGAAUUGCUUGAACCUGGGAGGUGGAGGUUGCAGUGAGCCGAGAGUGUGCCACUGCACUCCUGCCUGGGGGAAAGAGCAAGACUCCAUCUCAAAAAAAAAAAAAAAAAAAAAAGAAAGAAAGAAAGAAAAAGAAAAAUCAGGGUGUAGAGGAAUAAGAAUUAGCUUUGAAAUGAGACAGAACUGACCCCAAAGUUCUCCUGCUUCCUGGUUAUAUGAUUCUGGGCUUAUUGCUCAACCUCUCUGAGCCUCAAUUCAUUAAUCUUUAAUAUGGGGAUCACAAAACAUAAUCUGCAGAAUUACUGAUGAGGCAGAGACUAGUAUCCACAUUUUGCAGAUGGGCAUGAACUGCUUUUAGAAUCAGAAUGGAAAAUAAAGUUGGAGGGGCAGUACAGCACAGGGGCCACAGGCACAGGUACUGGAGCCCUCUCGGCCAUCUGCUAGCUGUGUGACCCUGGGCAAGUCACUUCAUCUCUCUGUGCCUCAAUUUUCUCAUCUCUGAAAUGGAGACAUAAUGGCAGCUACCUCAGAAGAUGGUCAUGAGGAUGGAAGGAAGCACUGAGACAGGGCUUGGUAUAUAAUAUACAAUGUAAACAAUGAGAAACUCUCAGUUAAUAGAAGAAUAAUGAACUUAGCAAGAAGCAACUCAGGAGAGCUGAAAUACACACACAGUCAACUCACCAGACCGUUCCAGACUCUAAGGCAGAAGCCAACUUCAGGGCUUUGUCGAGAUUUUUUGUGAACACGGCUGCUGUGAGUCCAUAGUCGGUGCUAUUCGCUCUUUUUAUCACUUCUUCGAUACUUUUGAACUUCAGUAUUGGUUGCACUGGCCCGAAAAUCUAUGAUUAAUUGCAAGAAUGGCAAUGAGAGGCAUGACUGAAUGGAAAUGCAUGCUGUGAACAAGCAUUUCCUUCUCUUUACAUGUUUUUCAUAUGCCCAGAGCACACACAUGCCUGAAAAACGAUGAUUAGAGAAGAAAGAACGUCCAAACAUUGCUUCAGCUGCAUUGCCAUUGGAGACUGAAGGGAAGGAUUAACAUGAAACAAAAAUAAAAAAUAAUAACAAAAAAUAUAUGUUGUGUUUAAGAUGUCUUGUUGUCAUCAGGGUUUCCGAGAAACCCAGCCAGAGAGCCUUGGAGUAACCCAUAGAUGCACAGAACACAAAACCUUUAGGUAACUUUUUUCGGAGUUGUCCUGAAGGAUAUCUGCAGGCACUUUGUAAGACUGUGCUCCUACCUCUUGGAGCUGUGUUUUCUACCAAGGAAGACACCCUAGAACGUUUCCAUAAUAACUACCAGGGGAAGGAAUGACACAAUAUUCACCACAGUUUGUGACACAGCAAAGAAAAGGAAAUGGAAGAACUAAGGCUUGAACAUUUAAAGGUGAUUUUGAAGGGAGCUUGUAAUUGAUUCAAUAUUAGACAUAAUUAUAAGCCGGCAGGAUGGUGCCUGGCCUGCCAAAAUACCUUCCGGGUUCCCCAGGACCUCUCGUCACAGGGAUGUUUAAGGAGCUGAGCUUCAUGCCAUCACGGCACAUAACAAUCUCAAGGAAGACGCCUCUGAAAUACCUGCCCCAGAAAGCCCUUGGCAGGGACUCAUCCUUUUAUGUGCCCCAAAAUACCACCUCCAGGGUCUAACCUCCUGGGAUCCAGCUCUCCUCUUACAAAUGCUGUGUGGGAACCAGUUCCCGUCUAGUGUAACAGUGGAGUUGAAAGAGAAAGAUUUACACUCUUAUGGGAGUGGGGGAGUCUCCUUAAUUUCCCUCAUUUUCAAGACGUCCGUGGUGGAAAAUGUCAAUAAAAAUUCCAGCUGUGACAUGUUCCUUGAGUGAACACUUGAAAUUCAGUCUAGGGGCACUGAAGGCGGCUUUGGGCCCUGAAUCCACAGGUUCUUGAACUGAUUCCUGGCAAAACCCACAGGUGGCAACAGUUCUCCACCUGCGGCUGCAUGACUGACUCGGGGACCGGUUGUGUUAGAAAAUCAGAGAGGGCUUGCUGCUCCCAGAGAGGGUGAGCCAUGAGUGAAAACUAGCUAGAACAAACAAGGUACCUGCUGUAUCAUGCUUGGAGUUCGCCAGAGGCAGGACAAAACGGCUUCCCUAGGGACCCCAAAGGAGAGGGGAAAGACCACACAGAAAAAACAACAACGACAACAACAGCAACAAAAACAAAAAAACACUCAGAUCACAAGGAUUUCUGGGAUCCCUGGGCCCUAGGGAAGGACUCGUGUUUGAAAGGCCCCGCAAGUCGUAGCCUUGCCACAGCCCCCUUGUACCUCCUCUUUGGCAAUCCGCAUGUUGUCUGUGACUUCUGAGAAGACAGUGGGUUUGAUGAAGAGCCCCUUGUCUUCCAUGGCUGAGCCCCCGCAUUCCAGCUUGGCCCCUUCCUUCUUCCCACUCUCGAUCAGCUCUAAGAUUUUGUCGAACUGCUUUUGAUCAAUCUGCAAGACACAAACAAGAAGUACAGCCUGGCUUCCUUCUGGGCAGUGGCUGCCAUCUCAUGUUUUCAGUGGCCUUCAACAUGAUCAGCCAUCCUCCCUCUGCAUGUUCUUGUCAAGCCAUGAUCCAUGUAACUAAUGAGCCUUGCAGGCAAAUAUUCCUCUGAUGCACAGAGCUGGGCUCUUUGGAGCAGGGGAGAGAUGGGGAGAUAGACUAGUCUCAUCCUCUGGAGGUUUGGGACAUAUUUACACUUCUAUCUCCCUUUUCCAUGCAGCAAAGUUAGUCCAUGAGUGACACAGGUCUGAAGUGGUCACAGUCUUUCUUCUCCCAACUCUUUACAUUCUACUCAGGUUGCCAAAUUUAGCAAAUAAAAAUACGGGAUGCCCAGUGAAUCUGAAUUUCAGAAAAAUGACACAUAAUUUUUUUUAGUAUGUCCCAAAACAAUAUUUGGGAUAUACUUAAGCUAAAAGUGCAUUUACUGUUUAUCUGAAAUUCAUGUUUACCUGGGUGCCAUGUAUCACCUGGCAACCCUGUGCCCUGCUCAGUUGGCACCGUGAAUCAGGGUAAUAGUUACUGGAAUUCUCCUGUCAUGGUGCAGAGAAGCGAGAAGAAAAGCUAACCACCUUACUCAACACCCCUGGGGACAAAGCAGAAUGAGCCUCCAGGUGGGGUGGCAGGGCUGCUCCUUGGUUGGUGGUGGGAACAGCUCAUGAGAAAGACUCUCCCUUUUGCUAUCUUGUCUAGACGUCUCCUUGGCUGGAGUUUGCCCUGUGCCACCAGCCUGACCCACAGCUUGUGAACACGCUACUGAGCAGUUGUCAAAAGCGCACCCUUUUGGGAGACUGCUCAAGAGGGAAAAUGCUCUUUCUGCCCCCUCCACUGGUCCUUCUUCCUGAAAUCUAUGGGAAUCUUGUCCUUUAUCAUGAUCUGUGGCUGGUCUCCCUCCUCUUUGGCUGGGAGAGACAAAGCUUUACUAGGUUUACUUUAGCUGGGAUUUUUAGAUGGGAAAACUGGUUUCAUUCCAAUGAUCAUAAACAGAAAAAGAAGCAAACCCAGUGGUGCAAUUGGAUGACGGUCUGUCCUGGAGGAGCAGGAGAGAGGGCAUAAACCGUGCAUGCCACUUGACCAAUCAUCUCAUGAAAUAUGGACCCAGUUUAAAAAUACUAACUCAGAUCCAUACCUCACACUUUAUACCAGGCCAAACUCCAAACCCAGUUUAAAAAUACUGACUCAGAUCCAUACCUCACACCUUAUACCAGGCCAAACUCCAAACCCAGUUUAAAAAUACUAACUCAGAUCCAUACCUCACACCUUAUACCAGGCCAAACUCCAAACCCAGUUUAAAAAUACUAACUCAGAUCCAUACCUCACACUUUAUACCAGGCCAAACUCCAAAUAGAUCAAAGAUAUAACCAGGAAAAACAAAACCAUAAAAGUUUUAUAUGUGGGAGACUUAUCCUGCAAACUUGGAGUGCCUUCUAAUGACUCAAAAUGCAGAAGCCAAAAAAGAAAAGAUGUAUAAUUUUGAGUAUGUAAAAAAAAUGGGGUGGGGGCAAAAUUAUCAUAACAAAGAGCAAAACAACAAACUUGGAAAAAAUAUUAACAAGUCAUAUUCAUAGAAAGCUAAUCUCUCUACUAUGUAUGUAAAGAGGUCUUAGAAGUGAUAAGAAAAAUGCCUAACAGCUUGCAAGAAAAAUACGCAAAGCACAUUUGAUAAUAAAGGAAAUACAAACGGUUUUUAAAUAUAUAAUAAGAUGUUCUACCUUGCUUAUUAUAAGCGGUAGAUGCAUAUUAAAAUGAAACAAGAUAGCAUUUUUAACUCUCCUAUGGGCAAAAAUCCAUAUUCUGUUGGAAAGGGUAAAGAAACAGACAAACUUCUAGAAUGUUAGUAGGAAUACACGUUGGUUCAGCCUCUAUGGAAGGUAAUUCAGCAACACUUAAGGAAAUUAGAAAUGUGUUCCCACUUAGCAACCCACUUUGGGAAAGCUGUCCCAGGGAUUUCCUUGUGUGUGUGUGAAAUCACAUACUCUGAGGCCUUGUGUGUGACUGCACAUACCUGCAUGCUAAUCAGAAGAUGUUACUGAAAUUCUGGUGGCUUCAUCCAGCAGAAUUCCAUACACAUGUGAAAAAGAAUCAGGCAGGUUCCCAUGGACUGGUAUAAAGAGCUCUUCCAGUUUUUUUAGGGAACAAUAAACAAAGUGCAAGAUGAUAUACUAUCAUGGAAACUUCCGUGUAAAAAUAACAAAGGCAAUCAGGACUUGCAUUCAUCUGCUUGCAUGCACACGAAAACAUUCUAGAGGGAAACAUGAGGAACUAAGAACUGGGGAUACCGUGGGGAGAAGGGUAAGAACCAGGUGUACAAAGGUGGGGGCGGGAGGGGCGGGAAUCCUUUCACUAUAGACGUUUUUAGGCGUUUUGGGGUUUGACCCGUGUAUGUGUACUCCACUCAAAAAAAGUAACAAAAACAGCUUUGCAACAGAUCCCGGAAGAGCUCAAGGUUCUCUCAACUUCUCUCUGGGUGAACCAAGUCUCAGGUUAACAGUUCCAGAUGCUGCUGAGCUGCUCUUCCCCUCCCUGAGGGGCCAAAAGGGACACAGGGGCUUCGCCCAACCGCAGGUCCUCCCUGGCUGCUGGGCAUAUGCCAUCUGGCAGACCCUGUUUGUCCUGCAGGCAGUGCUGGGUCCCCGUGGAAAACCUACACAUCCAAACUCCACACUCCCUGGAGAGCCCGUAGGAACACAUUGUUUAAAUCUAAUAAUCCUCCAUGAAAUGUCAGCUGGUGCCUUACAGUACAGGAAGAGAGACCUGCCAGGAAGUGAGAUGACGCAGCAGGGCACAACACCAGAAACAGGGAAAUACGGCCCCCACAGGACUGGCUCAAGGCUGUGCUCGGCUCUCUGCCCGGAGGACGCUGCCGGAUCCUGCCCGGCCAGGUGGCCUGCAUAAUGUUUAUGUGCCUCGUUGCUCAGUUGCCAAAUAAACCUGAAUGAUUUUGGAGCAUUCCUGUGAGCGCUAGCCCGGCCGUGGACCCGGAUCUAGGUCAGCUAGCUGUUUUACAGGCAUGAGACAGACAGGACUAUUUAGACAGCUGUAAGUCCUCUCAGAGUAAAAUCUUAUUACCGUAGAUGAAAAAGCACUUUGGAAGAAAAAGAAACCCCAACAGCAUUCUAAAAUAAUAUGCUGAGGUUAGACGGCUUUAGUGAGCUUUCAGAAGGACUUUGAGCGGUGGCAUAAAUGCACUGAUGAAAUCAGCACCCAUUCUGCCUCUAUCUGUUCUCUUGGAAGAAAUCGGUGUAUCUGGCCUCAAAAGUCAAGACUCAGACAUCAGGCAUAAGCCAAGAAAAGAGCCACAGAAAGAGACUUACAAAUAACGACGGGGUAAAAAAGUUUCUUCUGUAUGGGGAUCAGUUCACAUAUUUCCCACUGAUUGUGGAUUAGCUUUAAAACUCACGGCGGAUUCAAUAAUGACUUGUGGUCAUGUUUGCGUUCAGAUCUGAAAUCCAGCCGAGGCCAUUAGACAACCUUGUGUCACUGACCGCUGGGUUUGGGGCACAGGCUGGGCAGGCAAUGACUGAGGAGAAGGAAUGUUAGCCACAAGAAGUGCUUUCUGCCAGGGUCACGUGGCGUCGGAGUGUGUGGACUGGGGCCAGUGGAGGGUGGGCACUGAUGGCCAGAAAUGCAUCCUUCCUCCAUGAGGCCCUCCCUUCUUCCCCAGCCAGGGCAUCCCCACAGGACAGCCUGAUGUCAUGCACAGACACUCACUGCCACCUAGACUGGAGAACCUGUCAUUUAAAGCUUCCUCCUGUUUAAAAAUAAAACCUGCCCAUAAUUGAAUACUUCCUAGGUGCCAUGAAAUUCUCAUAAUAUUCAUUGAUUACUCCCACUCUCCAGAUGAGGAAACUGAGGCAUGGAAGGGUUUUUGUGACUUUCAUAAAACCCAGGGCCAAAUCUGAGCUCAGAUCCACAGCAGCCUCCCCUGUAAACAUGCAGUGCUGUCACAGUAGGGGAAGUGGCAGCCUCCCGGGAUAGACACAAGUGGGUAAGUCACGGACAUGUGACUUGAAAUUUCAUGGCUGGGGCAGGACUUUGGCUAAAAGCAAAGUGAGUGACUGCUGAGCUCCAUUUCAAUAAUGCAUGGGAUGGUCAGGCUGCCCUCUUUUAAAUAUUUAUCCAUCUGCUUCACUUCAUAAUUAGUAAGAAAGUGAUACAGGAUGUGCCGUUUUAAAGAGGAUAUUAAAUCUCGUGGUUAUGAUCAUUUUCAUCCUGUCCUUGGCUUCCCAAACUCAUCCUCCAGAGACAUGUUCCUACUGCCUGGAGAUACAUUCUCCUGCCCCAGGCUCUCUCCGUCUGGGAUUGUUUGAUUUCUGAUGGUUCACCUUGUCCUGUAACCCACGUGGGCUUGAGGGCCUCGGGCUGCGACUGAGACUCCAGGCCACACGCUGCCUGCACUCUGCUGCCUUCAGCCAGCCUACAGCCCCUUUUCUGUAGGGAGGUCAUCCUGGAGAGUGGAGGGUUCAGGCAGAUGGCCUUCUGCCCUGGGAAUAGCGCCCUCCUCCCAUGCCUCAGUGUGUCCUGCCCCCUUUCGUGAGCCCCCGGGACCUGACAGGAUUGUGUUUCUGAUCAGUUUCUAAAGAAAAGAAAGCCUCCUGGGCAGGACAGGUCAGCAUUCCUUUCACGGAGAGGGACCCUGUAGGCGGUUGCCAUGGGACUGCCUGCUUCAGCCCCUAGACAAGCACCAUGGUUUCACACACACCAGGGGGAUUACCUGAGGCCCCUGUUCUGUUUUGACAUCGAAGGGGUCUCCCACGGGCCGUUUCUUGGCAUACUCCACGCUCCGCCUGACAAACUCAGAGUAGACCUGCUCCUCCACGAACACCCUGGAGGCUGCCGUGCAACACUGGCCUUGGUUGAAGAACACUCCCUGAUGGGCACACUCCACUGCCAAGUCCACUGGAGGGGGAGGGGCGAGGGAGGCGGGCAGAGCGAGAGGAAGCGAUUAAGUUGUUAAAGCAGGACUGGUGACAGCUGCAAUUCUAAUUGCCCACACAAGAAAACAGGCCCCAGGAUGGCUGCAUUUCAGAAAUUAAUUUUGUUUGCAGACUUUCCCAAAUAGAGAGGAAGGGAGAAAGGAUUUUGGGGUCCACCAAGUUUGGGGUUAAAUCAAUUCCCUGACUGCAGGACUUCUCAGUACCUUUAAUAUGCUAAUAAGUCCAGAGAGUCAUAGCACCCUCCAUUUCACUUGCCUUUUUCUAGAGGACUCCCCUCCCCUCCCCUUUUUCUAGAGGACUAAUGUUUUAUAGAAUAAACUUCGGUAAUUAUUGAUGUAGGCCCCCUGGCGAGAACUUCUAAAGAAGCCAAAAUGUUCCACCUUGAGUAAAAGAAGGGUCUUAUUAAGUAAGAUAAUAUCAUGUGUGUGACUUAGAAGGGCUGACUAAGUUGCAGAGCUGACAUUGAACUAAAACCAGUUAUUCAAACCAAGCCAGAGGGUAUUUAGAGAAUAAGAUCUUGGGGGACACGCUUAGUGGAUAAGAAUGGUAUUGGGAUGUCAUUUACAUCUACAGAGGGGUUUCUAGUGUUCAACCGUUGGCUGGUUUCAUCACCACCAACCCCCGCACUAUUGCUUUCUUAAGAAAUGCAGCUUUCCUUUGCAUAGAGGCUGGCAGUGGCUCUGGGCAUUGGAAGGUGAUCCGUUCCAAUUCCACAGGGGCUGCUCCAAGGGACUGUGCCCUUGGCUUUGAGAAGGAGGCUGCUCCUAUCUAGCUGAGUCAUUUGUGGAAGUUUCAGUGGCAGCAGGACAGCACCAUAAGGUUUGGGGGUACCUCUCUGCACCCUUGACCCCUGCAGCUGGCUGGGCCAGGUCCCAACUUGGAACUGCCCCUCCUCCGAGAUAACAGACUCAUUUCCUGCUCCUGACGGAGCUAGGGGUGAGGCGAAGGGGCAGGGGAAUGGUGGCUUGUUACCCUUGAUGUCUUGCCUGGGAUGCUGGUUAUGUCAGGAUGUAAUUUGUGGACUGGCACCGCCCUGAUGAGGAGAAGGAGGUGGCUACACAGCAUGUUUUUAUGACCCUCGUAAGUAAAACCAAGCCCCAAACACAAUUAGUCCUGUGCUUUAGCUGCAGUUUUCCUCCCCAAGAGGAGGAAGAUGAACUUCAGUGCAGGUGGCGUAUCCAGAUACGGUGGCACAGGAAAGCAAAACAGGAGUCCUGGCUGUUUGGGACUCCAAAUGUGAGUCACAGUGCCAGAAAUGCUCCGUGUGGCUCCAAAAACCACUUGCUAUUCAUAGCACUAAUGGUGCUUCCACAAGGGAACACUGACCCAGGCAAGAAAUGGAAAGUCCAUCUUCACACCCAGCUCCCCUUUCCUUCCUGAGAGCCUGUAUCCUCCUCCUGUCCUUUCUCCCAUUGUGAAAGCCAGCUGCCAGAAAGGAACUGAUAUCAGUCAUUUACACCUUAGUAAGAAAUUGUGCCAGGGUCAUUUUUCUUGGGGAUAUUUGCAAUUCCAACCUUAUCUGAGUGUGAAGUGAAAGGCUUUGUUCUCCACGACAGGAAUUUCUGGCACCCGUGGACAGGUCUGGGAGGCUAUUCUUUAAGGCAAAGGUGUUUCAAGGCACUUGGGAAGUCACACCUUUUGAUAGCUGACCCUGUCAGCAGGUGAAUGAAUGCCCGGCCAGCCCUUCCUUCCCUCUUGUGGACAUGGCAGCCAACAAUAGCAUAUAUUUUAACGCUGUGUCGUUUGGCUGUCAAGACGCAAGCUAUCCCCAAACUGCUGGGCAGGUUGCUUUCCCAGGGCAGGGGUGCAGGCCUAGAACCAGGCAAAGCGGGUAAUUUGAAGGAUCAGUUGCUACUGCCCUCCUCUGAUUUAUCAGGUCUGAGACACAAGGAAAGAGCACCUCCACUCUUCAGGGAUCUUAAAACAUAUGAUAGGAAAUGUGACUUGGAGGGGAGAAUGAAUGACUGGGAGUGGGCAGCACCUGCCCUCCCCACUCCUCCCAGGGGGCUCUGGAGGAGAAGCCAGACCUGCUCCUCGUGACCCCAGCUCUGCAGGAACAGGCAGGUAAACUUAACGCUAAGGCGCAGAAACAGGCAGCCUCUCAGGUGCCACUCAAGCCAUAUCGUUUUGGCAGUAGAAGGCAGCUUUCUGCUAGAAGUAAAGCUGGCAUUUUGAUGUCCACCUGCCUGUCUGCGGCUGGCUGACUGUGGGCAGGAUGCCCACGGUGGAAGCGUCCCCACUGUGUGUGCACACAUCUUACUCUCAGUUGGUUUUGAAUUCAGGCCAGGAAGUAGGGGGAGACAGAUGGAUGCCCUGAAGCCCCAGCAAAGCCCAGGAGGGCAGAGACUCACAGUCAGCGUCCGCACACACGAUGCAGGGGUUCUUCCCCCCCAGCUCCAGCGUCACCCGCUUCAGAUUGCUCCGGGACGCAGCUUCUUUAACCAGUUUUCCAACCUCCAGGACAGAACACAGAUCACAAUUUACCUUGGAUGUUGCUGAACUUGGCCCAGGCGUAAACAUCAGUGAACAUUCUGAUCAAGCCCGGGUGGCAGUGCCACCACCUGGCUCUCGGCCCAGGCGCUCCAGGCCCCGAUGCCGUCCCUUCACUGUCCUGGCCUCUGCCAGCAUCUCCUCCCAUGCCAGACCAUGACAUCCUGGGAUCCUUGGUCUAAGCCGCUCCACUUACAGGUGUGAGUUAGAGCCUCUGGAAGCCCACACAGCUGGCUGGGAACAGGGCUGCCACCCGCUAACCUGUCCUGGUGCCUGUCCUUCUGAGCCCAGCAGGCUGGUCCAGCCAGUCUGGUAAAGGGCUUCAGGGACCGCAGGGUGACUCUUCUACCUCUCACUAGAAACAGCUGAAAUUCCAACAGCCCAGUAGGGGGGUGGUUCUGUGUGGCUCUUUGGUGUGAUCUGAGGGAACCUCCAAGUGUUAGAGAAGUAGCGAGGGCAGCCAGCCUUCCGGAUGAGAAGGAGCCGAUUCUCUGGAAACACACUCUAAGACUGAGGCUGCCGCAGACAGGCAGGGAGUGAAGGGGUGCGCUAUGAGCAGAAAAGCCACUCACCAGUCAUGCUCAAGGCCCCCACGGGGUCUCUCCCAUUGCCCACUGUACCCCUGGAGGGGAGGGCUGGCCCAGCAUGACUCGGUGACUUAUCUAGGGCAACAAGUAAAGCCCAGCACCACGAACUUCAGAGCUGGGAAGAUCCUCAGAGACCAGUGCAGACACGGAGGCCUAGAGCCAGAAGCUAGCAAGGCGCGGCCCAGGCUCUUCCGGGUCUGAGACUGUUUUCUCCAAUGCUAAGGUGUGAGCGCAUUUUAAACAUCAGCAAGCUCAUGGGUGAUGGCUGAAUGAGGUCUGGAAUCCAUCCACAGGGCAGUGUCUGUCUCCAAGGAGAGUAACAGCAUCCACCAGGGCUUGGACUAACUAAGGAGGGGGAUGGGGACACUGAUUGCAGCGGGUGUUUUUUUCUUUUUUAAGUACAGAAGAAAUACUUUCUCAUUAAAAGUAAUUCCACAUAGAGAUGUAUGUGAAUUACAGGGAGAAAGCCUUCAGCUUCCCUCCGGCUCUGCCCCGAGCCCACCCCAUAGGUGGCCAUCAGUAAGGAUUUCUUGGGAAUCCUUCCAGAUAAUUUCUACUUCUACAAGCACACACCUCUACGAAUGGGAAAAUAUUGUGGGUAAUUUUCUACCGUUUGCUGUUUUGUGCUUCAACAAUAGAUCAUGGACAGCUUUCCUUGUUGUAACGGCUGUAAAACAUUCCAGAGAAUGAAUAUAAUAUCCUUGAAAAUAUGUCCCUGAAGCCUCAUGAGAAAAUUUCUCUAAGUAGUUUUUUCUUUUUUUGAAAUGGAGCUUCUGAAUCGAAAAGUUUUUCACUUUAAAUGUUGGAUGAGUGCUACCAAAACACUGUGCAUCUUAGGGCAAGUGUCGCUGAGCACCUGCUUCCCCAUAUUCUCAGCAGUAUCAUUUCAGUUCUUAGCAAUCUGGCAGGCAAAAGGAAAGUCUGAUUUUGUUUGAAUUUGCAUUUUCCUGAUUACCAGCAAACUAGUUUAAGCUUAAUGGGCACGUCGUAUUUCUAUUCUCUGAACUGCCCAUUUUUCUACCAUUCAGUUUGGUUUUUUUUUUUCAUUGACUUGUAGGAGCACUUUGCAUAUGACGGAUAUAAAUUCUUGGAGCACUGCAUGCAUCACGACUAUUUUUCUCUGAGCUUGUUAUUUAUCUCUUAAUCUUAAUUAUGGUGUUUGACAGAUGAAUAUUUUACAUUUCUACUUUAUCUUAUCUCUCAAUCUUUUCUUCUAAGGCUUCUGAGUUCUAUUAGAUAUUUAUUUAGUUUGGAAACUAGACCAGUGACUUUUUUUAACUGGUUGUUAUGUACUAAAACAUGGUCAAAUUUAGAAGAAAAACAAAUCAUAUUAAAGCCUGUCAAAGGAAAAGCUCACGGGUGUCAAAUAACACGCCCCUUUCACUUUCCCCAGCACCCUGUGAGGAGGGUUACCUCUGUGGAGCCGGUGAAGGCGAUCUUGUUGAUCUGAGGGUGAGAAGAAAUUGCUGCUCCCACUGUGGGCCCGAAUCCUGGCACAAUGUUCACCACUCCUGGAGGGAACCCGGCCUGGGAAGAAAUCAAGAUAGCACUUGAAGAAGAACGGACUUCAUCCACCACGGAUCCACAUUUGGGCCGAGAGAGCCGUGGCUGCCUCACAUCCCCACAGGGAACCCGGGCCGGGCUGGAUUUACCCAGGACCCAGAAGCAGUUGACCGUGGGCACCCUGGGAGCUGACCUGGGCUUCUCAUCCCCUGCUGCCAGCCCAGUGUGCAGGCUGGGCAAGGGGAGAUGCCCACUUCUCCUUCUGGGGGGGGACCCCAUCCCAAAGUGAUAUGCAGUGCAAAUGUGUGGUUAUGCUUCAAGGUGGCCAUGGCCCGCCUGUAGCACAGCACCUUUCCAUGUGGGGUGUGUGUGUGUGUGAGGGAGAGUGUGUGUAUGCGUUAAGGGGAGAGGGGUACCUUGAUCAGAAUGCCCUGCCCAGGAUCAGAGGCACCUGCAAAAUAUCUGCCAAGAGCUUCAGUUUUGUUUUUUCUUCUUUUUUUUUUUUUUGAGAUGGAGUCUUGCUCUGUCGCCCUGGCUAGAGUGUAGUGGCGCGAUCUUGGCUCACUGUAAGCUCCGCCUCCCAGGUUCACGCCAUUCUCCUGUCUCAGCCUCCUGAGUAGCUGGGACUACAGGUGCCCGCCACCACGCCUGGCUAAUUUUUUUUUUUUUAAGUAGAGAUGGGGUUUCACUGUGUUAGCCAGGAUGGUCUCGAUCUCCUGACCUCGUGAUCCACCCACCUCGGCUUCCCAAAGUCCUGGGAUUACAGGCGUGAGCCCAGUUUUCAUUUUUUAAUCAGACCCGUUAUUAUUCCAAAUGGUGACAGGGUAUCACUCCCUUAAAGUUCUUUGCUUGUUCAACCUGGGUCUCACCUGGAGCAAGCCCUUCUGGAAGGCAGGGACUGCCACCUCGUUCACGUUCAUGCCUCGUGUUUUUCAUAUACUAAGCCUCUUUAUCAGGCGAGAACACAAAACAAACGAGGUGGAGGAUGCUCUUCCCCACCUGUGCUGAGUCUUACUUAGAACACAUUAUUUCAGAAAAUCAAGAUUUUAGGCACGCUGCUUGAGUCUUUAGAUUUUUAGGCACUGUUUCUUAACAGUUGGGAUUUUCACAUUCCUAAGUCUCACCAGUGUGACUUAAUUAUGCCCCACAUCACCAAAGGAAAGUGGAAAAUUGGCUCAUCACCAGCUGUUCCCACCUUGCUUCUAAGCAACUGUGGACCUGCCUGCCGGUCAUAUCAGCCCGACUAAGAAGAGAAAGGAAUGGAUCUUUUCUUCUGUCCCUCUUUGCUUCCUGUUGCUUUCUCUAAAUCUUUGCUCCAUACAACCUGGGGAUGGAAUGACUAAAGGUAUGUCUGGAAGGAGGUGUCCCAUUGAGCCUCUGUUUCCCUAAGUUCUGGCUGCCUGAGGGAGAAGAGAUUGCAUUCAGAGCAGAGGGCACUGAUUAGCAGGGACCCGGCACACGGACUGCUGCAGCCGCCCAGCUAGAGCUGACGAGGCCACCUCUCCAGAGAAAAAUGGACCAUUUCAUAAACUGAGAAUGCAAAUCCCAGAGAACCUCCCAAAUAUUUGGCUCCCUCUUGGUUGACCCCCCCUGAAAAUUCUCUAGACAAACCACUGGGUCCUCAACCAUAGGUUUGAGCCCAUAAUAAGAGUUAAGCAUUCUCAUUAGGACCACUGGGAGGAAUGGAGUUUCUCCAGCUCAGUGGCCACAAGCAGGAGAAAGAACGUGCAGUCGCCAAACAAAACACUGGAAGUCAUUCCCUUCCCACUCGAUUGCCAGCAGUCUGCCACUGUCCCAUCUCGUGACGGUGGCCUGGUUCCUAGGAGUGGGAAUGUUACCAAGAACAUGUGAUAUUUUCUUUUUGGAUGUCUCACCUCUUUGAUCAGAGAGCCGAGAUAAAGGGCGGUGAGAGGUGUCUGCUCCGCAGGCUUCAGGACCAUGGUGUUCCCACAGCAGAGGGCGGGUGCCAGCUUCCACACCAGCAUCAGCAGGGGGAAGUUCCACUGCGACAGAGCACAGGGGCUUUGGAGGCCCAGAUCCACCCUCUUACCCUGUCCCAUGUGCUCAACGAUGCCUUUGUGGAGGACACUUGCUUUUCAUGGUCUGGAUUUGGGGUAUGUGGGGUAACAUAGGAGUGUGCAAUGAUCAGAACUGCAAUCCUGCACAGCACUUCCUAAACUGCAUUCUGGGUGGUACUAAUAGGCAGCCUUUGCAAAGAGGAUGCUGUUGCAUGUGUUCUACCUCUCCCUCUAAAACAUCUGCUGAAGACGUGUCCUCCUCCCUGCCUCCAUGGGCACUUUUUGAACCCUCACUUCAUGUUGCCACCUGGCUCUUCAGCUUCCUGCCUGGCUGUUGUUGCAAUGGCCAGAGGCUUCCCAAACAGACAGGCAGCAUUGUUGCACUUCUUGGGCACCUAUAAGCAUCCCCACCGCCCAAUGAAUAAAGUCCCGGCCCCUUAGCAGCCAAAGCUGCUGGAAGCUGGCCCACACCACCUGCCACGUGUGCUCACCCUUUUCCUCACUUUUGCUCCUGCCUGAGCUCUAGCCCCACCAGCUUUCCUGCUGUUCCCUUCCAAGUAGCCCAGCCACCUCUGCACUUUUGCCUAGGCCAUUCCCACUCCUUGGAAAAUCCUUUUCCUUGUUGAACAAGUCUUUCUUAUCUUUAAGGCCCAGCUAAGAGACCACCUUCCUGGGAAUGCUGGCCAUUCCUGACCACUCUGGCUGGGAACCACAGUGCUUUCUGUGGCAUGCCUAAAGCCGGUCUUAGGAGAGCAGAAAUGGGGUCUAAUCCAUCUCAAGAGCCCCCAAGCAUGGAGUUCCAUGCCACGAAGAAAAUGCUUGUUCAACGCUGGUGCAAUCAGAUAAAAACACACCAGAAAUUGAUUCCAAAGGACACAGGGCAGUGGGGCAGGAUCUACAUAGAAUCUACUGAGAAAGGCUGCCAUACUUACUGGAGUGAUGGCCCCACAGACACCAAUGGGCUCAUGCCUGGUGAAGCACACGACGUUGUCAUCUGGAAGAGGGUUACAUGGUGGGGAAGGACACACUCACUUAGUCCAGGUUAGGAACUUCAAGUAGUAAAAAGACAAGAAAGAAACCAACAAGGGUGCCAGAUUCAAGUCUUGUCUAUUAUACAGAGAAGUGAUUUGACCUCAACUUUAAAAGUGAAGUUCUUAGAAGAAGAAUUGGCAGUACCAUUUGGAGAGGGAGUGGGGUUGGGAAUGGUGCCUUAGGGAAACAGUCAGGGGGGGCUCUGGAUUAAUGAAAAGAUAUAGCCCCAAAGGGAUCCCAAAUGAAGCUAUAAUCCACCUUGCUCACCUGUGGGGAUGGUCUUGCCCUGGAUUUUGUCUGCCCACCCUGCAAAGUAUCUGAGGGUUCUAAUACAGCCCUCCAGGUCGAUGAAAAAAGCAUGAAGAAAUGGCUUCCCUGUAUCCAUCGUCUCCAGGGCCUGCAAUAACAAGAUGAUGUCUGUUUCGGACAUAGCUUGCUUUUCUUUUGCACUGUCAGGUUGUUAAAGAUGGAAGUUGGGGAGAGAACACAGUCCUAGGACAUUGCUCUGUAGACCUCACAGUCAGAUGCACCUCUUCAGAAAGCAUGACACCAAAUGUAAAGCGAGGCCUGUCUCUGAGUGUGAGGAUUGCUUUUAUUUCAAAACACCUAAAGUGGGCUGCAGGGUGGUGGGCUAAAACAUAGACAUGCACCCUCUUUGAAGGGCCCCUUGGAGGCCAGGCGGAUUUAAAGCUGUGCUGGGAAGGAACGCACACUGGCAUCUGAUCUUCCAUCUGUAGCACAGUGGCCUCUGCUGUGUGGCCAGUCGUGUGUGCUUGUGUGUUCCCAGGAAGCUCUCUGAAGGUUAGCUGGCUCUGGGGUGGCUGCAGUGGGAGCUGCCCUCCUCGAACAAAAGAGAAAGAGAAGAUGUAGGCUCUUCCUUCUCGGCCAGGCUGGCCAGUGUGGCUGUGGAAAGUGACUGAGCCGAGAAGGGUCGCGCCCCCAGCACAAAGAUGCAAUCCUUCCCUCCUGCACUGCAGAGCCCGGCCGGCCGGAUGCAGAGUCGGAAGGGAGCAGACUGCCCUGCUGGUGAGGGAGGUGAUUACCCAGGGCGAGUGUGCAGCCACUCAAUGGCAGGGAUUCUUUUCUAUUUCCAGCCGGGGUGGAAGAGAACCCCUUUGUCCCUCAGACAAGUGGCCCCAGUUGAGCCCAGCGCUGAAACCGCCAGUCAUCCGCCUCUGCAGGAAGUGGCCGCCCUGACACAUAGCCCAGGGCUGGAUUCUUGUGGAAGAGUCAGUGGAGUGAGAUGGUGAUUGAAAAAGGAAGAAGGCCCCUCCUCAGAUCCAGGGCUUUAACCCCAGCGCACUCCCCGAUGUCUCACCCUUUGAGCUCCAUGACUGCAUUCCCACUUCAAGGUGCAGGCACGGACGCUAACGGCCCAGUGACUUGGCCAAGGCCACCCAGUAAUGCAGCAGCUGAAUUGGGGGCAUCUACUUCUGGCCAGCACAGCGACUGGCCUUUACAGGCUGCUCCUGGACAGGUGUGUCUGGAAAGACUGCAGGGCAGCCACUCCGGAUGCUCGGGCUACCCCAGCUCCCCUUUGCUUCAGGAAUGAGCCAAGCCCCCUUUAAAUAGGAGGCAACUACAUCUGCUGAACCCUAGUUAAGUAAGUGGGCCUUGGGUAAGUCCCUGAAUCACUCCUUGCCUCAGUUUCCUCAUCUGUAAAAUAAGAAUAAUAACGGUUCCUACCUCACAGGGCCAGCGUUAGAGUGAAAGGAGUCAGUGUCCACAGAGCAGCAACCACAGUGCCCGCCCAUGGUGAGUGCUGGAUUGGUGUUCACAUGAGAACACUGAUGAUUACACUGACUAUCAUCAACUUCCCUUUAGGCACCAGAGAAGGGCUUGGCGAUCCUCACCUGGGGACCCAGACAGCGCACUGGGUUGCUAAAGACCACAGGACUGGUCUAGCUUGGGGUGUGUGUUCUGCCCCCAGCAGCUGCCACUCAGGGACUGAGUCAGGCCAGUGUGACAUCAAGUAUACUCUAGUGUUGGUUCCUAUAGAUUUUCACUCAAGCGUGAACUUUCAUUUUUCCAGGGGAAGCCUAGCAAUUGCAAAUAGUGCAAAAAGGCCUCUAAGACUGACCUAUUCCAGACAGUAUCUGCAUAUCUGUCAGUGGAAUUGCAAGUUUAUUCUUUGCUCUUUUCUGGGAUGGAACAAGAGAGAGGACUUCAACAUCCAGCACUGAGGGUAAGCGCGAGACAUGGAGCCAAGAUUCUGCCUCCAGUCCUGGAUUACCACCUCUGGCUGGGUGACCUAGGACAGGUUACUUAACCUCUCUGGGCCUCAGUUUCUCAUCUCUGAAAUGAGAUAAUAAAUCCUACAGGUCAACAAGCCAGGUACAUGGCGAACAUUCAGCCAGCAUUGCUAUUUGUUUUUAUUGUCAACUUCAGCAAGUUUGCUUACUGGAGUGACAACAUGAAUUUACCAGGUUAGUUUUAUGGAAUUUCUCUGAGCAAAACCCAGGUCAUGAUAGGUUUAGACGGGAAAUUAUUAAAAAAAAUUAUGCAGGUGAGUGAGUCCAAGUGCUCGCUACAGAUUGAAACAGUCAUCCUUUAAACAACUUGUUACUGUGGCUCAAUCAUGAGUAAACCAUAGCCACUCCUAAGUUUAUUUCCUUUAACAUUUUAAGAGGAAAAUGUGCCUCCUGAGAAAUUAACACAUCAGAACCCUCAGAUACUAAAGAAUGACGGGAAGUGCCAGGAAAACAGCACGGCAGGGCUUACAACGAGAGGACCCAGAAAUGGCACUUGGGGUGAAAAGGAGAGUGGAUAGGGAGGGCUUCCGUUUGGGAGCUCCCAAAAUGAGCGCCCAAAGAGCAGAGUUGGGGCCUGGGUGCCCCAGCAAAGGAAAGCCAUCCAGGGGCCGCUGGAUCCCCCACAUCUGUUUCCAGACACUGAGCACAGAAAUAAACACCCAGCUCUGUCAAACCACUGAGCCGGCAAGAGAACACGCUCCAUGAACAUGCACGGAAACCAUAUCGAGGUGGAGAGCAAGGGGCGCUCUCCUGUGAUGUGGUUGGAGUUUUAAAAACCGUGUUUGCCAGUAAUUCUCUUGUCCCUUUCAUGUUGUGGCAAAGAGCUGGAUCUUAUUUCUCGUGGGCUGCGAGGUGCCAGUGGCAGAAGUGAUUUGCUGGGUUUGCAUUCUGAGAUCCUCCAAAGCUGUCUGCUAUCAAAACACAGUCGUGCCAGGACAAUGGGGCAGCCUGAAGAUGAAGGUGGCUUUGUAGCCUCUGCUCCUAAGAUGAUACUGACACUUAAGGACAGGGUUCAGGGCGGGGGGUGCCCAGGGCACAUCCUCUCUAGCCUGCUAUUAGUCCACACGGACAUUGCCGACCGAUGAGCUCAUGCCGGGUGAAAACAGAAAUGUUUUUGAAAAAGCCAGUUUGGCAGCUUGAGGGUUGACGCUGGCUUACGUUGCAGGAAGAAACCAGAGGCUCCUCAGAGAGAAGCGCUUACCCUGGGAGGGAGCUACUCUCACCCGGGGAACAUGUGGACUGGCCGGGCUGACUGGGAAGGAAGGAAGGGGAGCUCGAGUUUCUGUGUGGAUGCACCCUUAGGGAAAUGCACCCAAGAGUACGGCCUGAGAGUUCCUCCACCCUGAGAAACACAUUCAGGGGCAACAGCAAUUUCCGUGUCCUGGCUGACACCCUCCUUUAAACAGUGGCUACCCUACUGCUUGUUCCCGACAUCAGAAAAACCAUUUUUCCAAAUCAAAGGCCAGAAAGGAGAUCUCCUCCCCUACAACCGGGCCUCAAGGUUUGGAACAACUUUUAAAAACAAGAGGCUGAGAUGGGCAAGGACAGGAUGCAAAGGACCUCAUGGCCCAACGUGGCCCUGAGAUGUCCUCUGAUCACUCCCUCAUGACCAGAGGAGGGUCUGAGGAUCCUGCUAAAAAAUGGACUUACAACUGAUGAAUGCCUUGGCAGCUCAGCCUCAUGGGGUAUGCUCCAUCAAUAUCCCCACCUAGGGUAUCUAGAAAUUACUGGCCAGCAGUGCAUGUAGGUGAGGUUAGAAAAUGGGUCUUCACAUGACCUCAUUAUGAUAACUGCUAUUAUUAAUGAUAGCUGUCAUCUAUUUAGUGCUUACUGCCUGCCAGGGACUCUGCCUAGAAUCUUAAAUAGAUCAUUCUUACACCACUGAGUUAUCAUUAUCGGUGACAUUUUACAUGAAGAAAUAAAUCUCAGAGAGGUUUCACAACUUGUCCAAAGUCACACAGCUAGUAAGUGGCAGAGUGGGGAUUUGAACCCAGGUCUUUCCUAUUCUGAGGUUUCCUAUAACCAGGCUAUCCUGCCCUCACCACCGCUCCACAUAUGCUCGCUACUAGCCAGUUCAGGGGUGACUGAGGAAUGAUUUUAGGUCACAUGGGAACAAUUUUUUCUAUGUUAAGUGGUGGCAUUUAUUUUGGUAAGUAUUAGAAAAAUAAAAUUAGCACAUCAAACCUGUGAUUUCAUGAAUAUUGUUUCUUAGGAUGAGAUUAAACUUAAGUUUAAAAGGGAGUUAAGGCUGGGUGCAGUGGCUCACAUCUGUAAUCCCAGCACUUUGGGAGGCCAAGGCCGGUAGAUCACCUGAGGCCAGGAGUUCGAGACCAGGAGUUCAAGACCUGGCCAACAUGAUGAAACCCUGUCUCUGUUACAAAUAUAAAAAUUAGCCGGGCAUGGUGGCAGGCACCUGUAGUCCCAGCUACUCAGGAGGCUGAGGCAAGAGAAUCAUUUUAACCUGGGAGGCAGAGGCUGCAGUGAGCCGAGAUCGCGCCACUGCACUCCAGCCUGGGUGACAGAGGGAGACUCUGUCUCAAAAAAAUAAAUAAAAUAAAAUAAAUAAAAGGAAGUUUAUACAAAAAAGAAAAAAGUUAAGUACAUAAACACACAGGUGGUACCAGGAUAUGGCCCAGCUCAUGGUCACCAAUCUGUGAGUGCCCCAAGUCUGAGACCACUGAUGUAGCUCAACUGCCUAUAGACAACAACUUGGUCAAGAAGCUGAGCUGCAGAGGACAAAAGUCUGACUUCAAAAUGAAAGGGAUUCAGUCUAGAGGCAUUAACACCUGCAAGUAUUGCCAGAGAGCCGUGUCUCAGAGGAUGGAACAGACCCACGACCACACAAAACCAGGACCGUGAUCUUUUUUCCCAUACCCCAUGGUGGACAGGACCCUCAGUGAGGCUGGCUCAUCCCCCACCGGCCCCCAAGUGCAUGUACUCACGGCCAAGGUGGCGCGGUCCCUCUCCACCAGGUCAGCCAGCUGGUGCAGCAGCCGCCCACGACUCAGGGCAUCCAGCCGGCGCCAUGGCGAGCCCCUCUGGAAGGCAACCUGUGCAGCCUCCACAGCCUUGUCCACGUCGGGCUGAGCGACCAGAACAACAGAGAGAGACUGUCAUCUUUUGACGUGACUGCAGUUUGGGUGUCAUCUUUUGACGUGACUGAAGUUUGGGUGUCAUCUUUUGAGGUGACUGCAGUUUGGGUGUCAUCUUUUGACGUGACUGCAGUUUGGGUGUCAUCUUUUGAAGUGACUGCAGUUUCGGUGUCAUCUUUUGAGGUGACUGCAGUUUGGGUGUCAUCUUUUGAGGUGACUGCAGUUUGGGUGUCAUCUUUUGACGUGACUGCAGUUUGGGUGUCAUCUUUUGAGGUGACUGCAGUUUGGGUGUCAUCUUUUGACGUGACUGCAGUUUGGGACCACGGCCAUCAGUUAUAGAGAACAGCAGAUUGUCCCGCUGGCAGACAGGCUGCAAGCAGCAGCAUGUUUUUCAAUCACUUGAAUGGCUGGGAGCGUUCAAGUGAUUUUUUUUCUUCUUUACAUCUUAAUAUUUCUACAGUGGCCAAAUACCAAUGUUUGUUUCUGAUUAUAAAAAGCAUUUAAAAAUAUUUCCUAAAGAGUAUUUUUCUCAGGGACCCAAGUACGGAAGGACUUUCCACUGGCUGCCUCAGUGUGAACGCACACGAGCCUGCUGUUCACAGAUCAGGUGGGAAGUGUCUGCCUGGCAUUUGAUCCCAGCUGGGAACUUGUGGUCCAAGAGUGAGAAUGGGGAAAUUCCUUCCUUUCUGGAUUGCAGAACUGACCAUCGUGGAACAGUUCGCAGACAGGGAGGAGCAUGAAGGCCGUUUUUCUCCCUUCAGCCUCACCCACCCCAUGGGAGCAGAACUGGAUCUUUUGUGCACUGAUAGAAUAAUCACAACGGAACCUUCUUUCUAAAAGGAAAGAAGUGAGGGCCAUUUAGAGUAGUGUCACUGUCUCUUUUUCUCAGGAAAAUGGGCCACAUUCAUCUCGAAGGCCCCUCCAUGCCUCUCUCUUUCUAGGAAGGUACAGCAGGGAGUGGAUGUGGGACACCAGUCAGGAGUGACUCUACCGAGUCUCUGUGUGUCCAGAGCUGGCUUGGGGGUGAGCAGAAGCUUGGCAGGGGAGAUGUGGGACACUGAAUUUCUUCUCCCAGGCUCUGGGGUGGAGGCCAGGACCUUUCCAGCUGCAGAGGGUGUGGUGGCCUCUGGCUCAGAACAGUCACUCAGACCAAGGGAGAAAUCAAGGCCCAGGGCAAGGGUCUCGUUCUCCUCCUAGCACCUGUACGGGGCACUUGGGAGUCUCCUAGUGGAAACCCCAUUCCAUGUCAUGGCUUCCCCCCAAUGCCCUCACAUUUUUCUAUGAGCUCCUCUGUGCCACUUUCUUUGUUAGCAGAGCCUAACUGUCAUGAGGUGCCACACAGAGGGGGGUCUGUAUAGGUGGGGCCAGUGUGCAUUUGCACGUCUGUCACAAAAACUCAUGGGCAAGAUAAAAUCCAAGCCUACUCUGCACACGCCCUUCACUGCAUCCACUUCCAACGUCAUCAGUUUGCUGACCAAGAACAUCAGUCCAGCACUCCAGCAGCUAAGGAAACAUUUACAUCUCCCUGCCCUCAGUGGAAGGGCUUUACCUCUGCACUGACAUUCAGAAUAGAUUUGAUGGCCUUGCAAUGUAUAAAGGACACAUUCGGAAGUCCCUUAGCUUCUGUAUUACUAUAUAGACCUUGCACUUGCAAAUAGAGUGAUAAAGGUUACCGCUUUCCAUGCUCAUGUAAAUUUCUAGGAGAAAAGAAAUCUGGUGGUUACAUUGUUAACUAUCCCCGCAUCACCCGGGUAGCAACUAUUUUUUUUCCUUCAAAGUGUCUAUUUUUUUCUAAAGUGUCUUCUGCCAGAAAGCUUCAUUUCGUGAAACACACCAGCGGGAAAUGCUUUCUGGAAAGAUUCUUUAAUGCCUCCAGGUCCAAAUAAUUGAUAAAAAAAAAAAAAAAAGAAAAAAGAAAACCUUUCCUUUAGCCAUAUGAUGAGGAUAGCUGAGGUCAUCCUCAUAGUAGGAGAAACAUCUAUCAAGGGAGAAUGAUUCUCUGCAGAGGAUCAUCGGUAAUUGAUGCCAUUCUGUGCCACACGUCUGAGAACCACAUGCCAAUUCACGCAGCUAGCCCAGGCCCUGCCCCCAGGAUAGGCCAGUUCUGUCUUAUAGCUAAGCCGAACCGUUUCCUUAUCCUUUGGUCAUCCAUAAUUGAAUUACUUAGAGCAAAUUUAUUUUAAGUAUUUACCUUAUCUCCUUCUUCCACUUCACAUAUUUGCUCCCGAGUUGAAGGGUUACAUGUAGCAAACUUUUUCCCACUCUUGGAUUCGUGCCAUUCAUUGUUGAUAAAUAUCUAACCAGGAAAGGAAGUGUAACCAAUUAGGUUUAGAUCAAAAUCAUAUAAUUUCAACAUGCUAAGGACCUUAGGUGACGUCUUAUCCAUCUUGUCCACCUUCCUCUCUGCUGCUUCCCUCUCCCCUUCGACAUCUUAUAGAUGAGACCCGGAGGGGAACAGAGUCCCAGGACUGCAUGACCAACAGAUCAACUAGGACAGACUCGAAAUUCAAGUUUUGGUCAAAUAAAACUAUAGUCACUUAGAGAUUUUUUUCUAAAUUAUUAUUAUUAUCUUCAGCAAUAACAUGGAUUCACAGAGGAAUGGCUAAGUUAAAUGGUUAAAUAGAGGCUGUGAAUGGAAUCUCAUACCCCAAUAGACUUUGGGGGAAGAGUCAAUAGGUUUAUAUACAUAAAAGUCCCAAGCAGUCCGCCUGCCCCUGAAGGGUAAGGACGCACCGAGCACUCCCUUUCUCCUUUCAGUGGCAACACUCAGCAAGAUUGAUUGCCAAGGAGCUCACUUUGAGGAGGAUCUCACCAUCGCCCUUCAGUUUUCACCAAUGCACAUCAGCAUGUCCCUCCCCAGCACAUUCCCCUUAAAAUGUGUAUUUUCAUAGCAAACCACCAUGGCGCAUGUUUACCUAUGUCACAGACCUGCACAUCCUGCACAUGUACCCUAGAACUUAAAAUAAAAGUUGAUAAAAUGUCAAAAAAAAAAAAAAACCCAGAAAAACCUCCGAAGCUUGAUAAUAAACCAGCGUUGAAGUACAAAGUUAAAUGUCUGGGUUAGAAACUUUCCAGGUUACAUUAAGAGAUGUCGCAAAUAACUGUUUAUAUAACCCGCAGAAAUCACUUUUCUGGGAACCUCAAUGAUCCAGAAUGCAGAUGAGAAUGAAAGUUUUUUUGACAAAAGACAUCAUGAGCAGACUAAGAAGAACAUACGAAGUCCAUGCACUGAAACAUAUGUACUAUUUACUGUUAGUUUACACUAAGUUCUAAUUGUCUUAUUAAUGUCAUAUUAAAAGAGAGGGCUUUUGGAAAAAACUAGGAAGAGACAUGACAGACAAUAUACAAAACACAUUCCGACAGCACGGAGGUCCCCGGCUGCCCAGCCAGAAGACACACAAACUCCUGCUACACCAACUUGGAAUGGCUUCCUCAUCACAGCCUAUCACAGCAUCAGAAGAACCCCCGUGGCAGAAAUGGCUGACACGCAUGUCUCUCAAGUAAAAUGCCGUCAGUAAUUUCUGAGUACAGAAUUAGUUCAUCAGGUUCCGUUUUUACAUCUAUCUGCAUGUGGUAUACAUAGCUUUACUUUGCUUCUUUUUGAAUUGUUUAAAGGAAGAAUUGCGUCCCUCAAGGGCUAAUUUCAAUUAUUGUGAAAUUGAUUCAUUUGAAACAUUUGACUCCCCAGUGAUGACAGAUGAGAGAGGGCAGCCAUCUCCUAAGCAUGAGUCUUGGUUACAUUCUCUGUAUUGGGCUUCCUGUAUAAACUCCACAGCUCCGGCUUAAUACCUGGGUGAUGGGUUGAUCCAUGCAGCAAACCACCAUGGCACAUGUUUACCUAUGUAACAAACCUGCACAUCCUGCACAUGUACCCCAGAACUUAAAAGUUGAUAGAAUGUUAAAAAAAAAAAAAACCCACAAAAACCUCUGAAGCUCAUAGUGAGGAAGCCUGGUCUGAGUCGGUUGGGGACCAAGCACAGGAGGCAGACUCUGGCUGGGCAGGUGAGCAGAGACCAGCUGCCCCCCAGUUUGGAAUCCAGAACUGAGAGCAUCGGUCACCAUUGGGAUUUGCCUGUCUGGCUUCUGGAAGCUUAGCGUCUCCAAUGUGAGGCCAGGCCCCCAGGGAAGCGCACCAGGAAAAGGCCAGGCUACAAUUACAGGUUUAUUCUUCCAGCUGAAACUAAAUCCAAGAGUUCACUUUUGCCAUCCAGCAAGUCAUCACUUGGUAACAGCGAGAAAUUAAUAACUGAGGAAGAAGAGUUAAGUUAGUGCGGGGAGGAAAGUGCAGCCAGGAAGAGGGGCCCAUUUGUAGAAAGAUGAAAUUUCGUGGGUUAGAUAAUAGAGACUGUCAGUGAAAAUUGCUGAUUCUAGGUCCUUCCUGGUAUCAACUCCAAGGGGGAGGGAAAAUGAGAAGGUGGCAGAAGAGAAUAUAAAUAAGGGGGCUGAAAACAGAUUACAAUGAUCGGAUGUCUGCUAUACUGCUAUACUUCAUCUCCAAGCAUGCUCCUCCAAAAAAAAUUACUGUUUGUUCAUGACAUUGAUCUGUAACCAGCAACCUUAAAAAAAAAUCAGACUGUUUGACUCUAACCAUAUUUUCCCAUCACUAUGUUUUUAAUUUUGUAAAAUCUUUUACUUUAUACCACACUACAGUAGUAAGUAAUCUUGUAAGUGGUUUCUACUGUUGAUUUUUCUCUCCAUUAAAACAAAACAAAAGCACAAAUAUAAGGAAAGGGUAUAUAAAUAUGGUCUACUGAUUAUGCUGGCUGUAUUGUUUUGAACUCCAAAUCAGGGUAAAGGGUCUAGAAGGAAUUGUUGUCUUUGAUUUGUGGAUUAGCAUACAACAAACCUUAUAGAGGUAUAGCAUUAAGCUACAUUGAGCUGUAGACCUGGUUCACAUUUUACAAAAGGAACAGAAUGACAUGGAAGCAGGACGGAGCUGUAAGGUGUCUCAGGCAGAGGUGAAGAUGACAGUCAUACAAGUGAAUCCUAUUGAUGCCGAUUUCCCGUAACUUCCAUCUGACAACAGGCCACUCAGCUAAACUCAAAAAGAAUAUGUUUUCAGAAAAGGAGAUUUGGGGGAAUUUUAUUUUUCAUAAGAGAGAUAAUAAAAACCGGUGUUUUAAAAAUCAGAAAACUUUGAAGAGAAUCCCUGCUACUGGAAGAAAUUUUAUAAGGAAAGAAAGAGGCCCUCUAAAUUAGAAGGGACUUCUAUCCUCUGAGAUCUGUGUGGGGACCCUGGAGGGGCUCUCAGCUCUCCAGAAUCACACAGCAUGACCCUAGAGAAUGAAAUGUUAACAUGUGAGGACAAAUGAAGGGGCUUUGACAAAGUCAUCCUGAAAGUUGGACCACCCUGGGAAAUGGCACUGCCGGGGCUAGGGCUCAGAUGGACCAACUCUGGUGUGUGCCCCAUUAUCGAGAAGCACCAUGAGUCAAUUUUGGAAAAUAGCAGACCACUGCUGGCUCCCAUGCUCCACCGUCUGCUCUCCUGCCAGGCCACCCACCUGCCGGGCCACUCGCCCACUCUGGGCCUCAGUCCUGCACUUCAGUUUAUCCCGCUCCUUCCCUCGGCAGGCACUCUUGGUGGCCUCACUCUCGGCCGCCUCUCCAGUCCAGUCUCCCUGAGGACUGUGCCAGGGCACUGGUUGGCCACCCUCAGCCACACAAGCUGCCUGGGUCCACAACUGCUAUGGGGAGGUCUCUGCAGAGAUGGGCCAGGAGCCAGGACAGAGCAGGCAGCAGCACAGUCCCCCAACGGGUGAGGAGCCAGCAGCCGGUGUCAGGCAGUUGGGGCCUUUAUCGCCUGGGAGACCACUCAAGAUCCCAGCACUCCAGGCCGAUCCACCAGCUUCCCUCAGCCUCAUUCCUGCACUGGUUCCCUUUAACUGGCAAAGGUUGCGCACCCACCAAGACAACAGGCAACCAUUGCUCUGUGAAUUGUCUAAGGUCUCCAUAAGGGCUACAUCUACACUUUAAAAGUGUCCUAAAAAUCAUAGAGAAAGAGGUAAACUUUUUGUAUGUGGUCAGAUUGCUGAUAGGACUCAAAAACAUAAAAAGUAAAAGGACCAUAAUACAUUUACUGUCUGGUUUCUAUAUACAGUAUUUUGAAAUCCUGUACAACCAAAAGAAAACAAACAACCUCCCCACUUAACCAUC